GAAACGGCGCUGGAUAAUACCUGGCGUAACUGACGGUACGUGCAGAAUAAGCACCGGCUAACUACGUGCCAGCAGCCGCGGUAAUACGUAGGGUGCAAGCGUUAAUCGGAAUUAAUGGGCGUAAAGCGUGCGCAGGCGGUUCGGAAAGAAAGAUGUGAAAUCCCAGGGCUUAACCUUGGAACUGCAUUUUUAAAUACCGGGCUAGAGUGUGUCAGAGGGGGGUGGAAUUACACGUGUAGCAGUGAAAUGAGUAGAUAUGUGGAGGAACACCGAUGGGGAAGGCAGCCCCCUGGGAUAACACUGACGAUCAU
RNAcentral lists this ribosomal RNA (311 nucleotides) under uncultured bacterium. Its description in RNAcentral is "bacterial SSU rRNA". It matches the Rfam family "Bacterial small subunit ribosomal RNA", at positions 447 to 750 of the family's 1533-position model. The record is from RNAcentral.